RNAcentral lists this RNase P RNA (321 nucleotides) under uncultured Ruminiclostridium sp. RNAcentral's name for it is "Bacterial RNase P class A". It matches the Rfam family "Bacterial RNase P class A". Rfam says of the family: Ribonuclease P (RNase P) is a ubiquitous endoribonuclease, found in archaea, bacteria and eukarya as well as chloroplasts and mitochondria. The record is from RNAcentral. Lineage: Bacteria; Bacillati; Bacillota; Clostridia; Eubacteriales; Oscillospiraceae.
UUGUGCGGUCGCGGGGUAUAUCCGUGAGGAAAGUCCGAGCAUCACAGAGCAGGAUAGCUGUUAACGGCAGCCGGAGGCGACUCCAGGGCAAGUGCAACAGAAAUAUACCGCAUUUUUUAAGUGUAAGGGUGGAAAGGCGAGGUAAGAGCUCACCGUAGACCGGGUGACCGAGUCUACCUGUAAACCCUAUCCGAUGCAACGCCGAUUGGUUCCGGGAGUAAGCCGCUUGCUCGGCGGUCCCGGAUUAAGGCGGCUUGAGGCGCGCGGCGACGCGCGGCGUAGAUAGAUGACCGUGCACGACAGAACUCGGCUUACAGAUAA